CAUGCCCCUGGGACCCUCGCCCUCCCAGCCCCAAAUUACCAGUUUCAGAGCUCCCCCAAGCUUGUCUCCUCCCGCUCUCCCCCAAUUCCACACCAUAACUUUGCCUCCCCCCCCAGGUGGGCACCCCUUGGAAGCACCUGGUGGGGCUGAGCCCCCCCCUGGCCCCCCAAGUGCUGCUGCUGCUGUGGGGGGGGCUGCCCAAUGCCCCCACCCUCAACUAUGGAGAUGAAGUGGGACUGAUGGACCCCCAGGGGGCGGGGUCUGAUCAGCUGACCCCGAUGCCAUGGACGGAAUUAAAGGCACUGCAAGAAGGCGGGAACAGCAGCCAGGCACAGUUGCUAUCACUGAGCCGCCGCCUCCGGGCACUGCGGAAGAAGGAGAAGAUCUUGGCAGUGGGCGGGGCCCAGGUGUUGUGGGCGGGGCCUGAUAGGGGCGUGGCUGUGCUGAGGGGGGACGGGGCCGGGGAGCGCUUCCUGCUCCUGCUCAACCCGGGGGCAGAGUCUUUGCACCCCUUCCGGCCCCGAUCGGAAGUGGCCACGCCCACCACUGGCCCCACCCCGCCCCCUCUGCCCCCCCGCGCUCACUUAGUGCUAAGCACACACGGAUCCCCUCCCCCUGGCACUGAGACCACCGUGGAGAUGGCGGAGCUGCAGCUGCAGCCCUACGAGGGGCUCCUUCUGCGUCUGCCCCCUCAAUAGGGAUCCCCGCUCCAUGGGUUCCCAUUGUGCCUCUGCCCCAUAGGGGUACCACAGUGCCCCCCCCCGCCCCCAGCAUUCCACUCCAGAGACCACACCUGUGGGGACCCCUCCUUGGGGCCUCUCUUCUGCCCCACUGUCCCUGUGUGCUGCAUUGUGGCUACCCAUACCCUUCCUUCCCCAAGCCCCCUUAGGGACCCUUCCCAUUGUCACCCCAUCCCAUCAGGAUCCCCCCCUCAAAUUCUCGAUCUCUCCUUAGAGGCCCCCAAUGGGAUUCAUCCUACUCAGAACUCGUGCCCCAAUUUUUCUCCUGGUGCCCCAUAACCCUAUGGGGACCCCCCUGUUCUUCCCCCACUUACCCAAUUUUGGGGUAAAUAAAAGUUUACUCCUGGUGCUGCA
This 1094-nucleotide long non-coding RNA is filed under the name Chrysolophus pictus (golden pheasant). RNAcentral describes it as "lncRNA (ENSCPIG00010009972.1)". The record is from RNAcentral. Lineage: Eukaryota; Metazoa; Chordata; Aves; Galliformes; Phasianidae.